UACGAAGGUGGCAAGCGUUGUUCGGAAUUACUGGGCGUAAAGGGCUCGUAGGCGGCCAACUAAGUCAGACGUGAAAUCCCUCGGCUUAACCGGGGAACUGCGUCUGAUACUGGAUGGCUUGAGAUUGGGAGAGGGAUGCGGAAUUCCAGGUGUAGCGGUGAAAUGCGCAGAUAUCGGGAGGAACACCGGUGGCGAAGGCGGUUCUCUGGGCCUGUACUGACGCUGAGGAGCGAAAGCGUGGGGAGCGAACAGG
This 253-nucleotide ribosomal RNA is filed under the name uncultured bacterium. RNAcentral describes it as "partial 16S ribosomal RNA". It matches the Rfam family "Bacterial small subunit ribosomal RNA", at positions 524 to 776 of the family's 1533-position model. The record is from RNAcentral.